GAGAAGACAAAGUGCACCGUAAAACAACUAUAACAAUUAUUUAAAAAAUUAAUUAAAAAACUUAUAGUAAAAUAUAAUAAUUAUCAUUAAAAAAAAUUAAAAGAAACUUAUUUUUAAAAAUAGUUAAAACAAUGUUUGUUGUAGAAAUAUGGUACUUUUUUCAUUCAUUUUUUAAAAUUUAUCUUUAUAUAUCUAAAAAAAUAAAACAUUUCCACAAAACAUAAAUUUAAAAAAUAAUAUUUAAAAAAGAAAACAUAUUGCAACCUAAAGUUUAAAUAGGUUUAAAGCAUACUUUUUUUAAUAAUAAAUAAAUAAAUAACGUGACAUUGCAUCCUAAUAAGAGAGAGAUAAUAUAUUUUUAUGUCAAGUAUAAUUUGAGGAAAAUAGGCAAAGUUGAAUGAUAUUGUAGUCCUAAAACAAACAUAAGUGAUAUUCCUAGGUAAUUUUCCAAACAUGGGUGACUAUCUAGGGAAAUUACUCUAAUCUUCUUUACUUAAAGAGUGUGAAACACUUUAACAAUUCAAUUAAUUUGAAAAUAUAGGGAGUAAUAUAAAAUGUAUAAAUUAUAGGAAUCAUAUAGUUUAAGAUAAAAGUACAUCCUAUCCCUAUUAGUUUUCAUUUACAGAAAUCCCUUAAAAUAAGAGGGAUAUAGAUACAUAAGUGGUUGCCAGAUACAUAAUUUCUGAUACAUUCAAUGGUGUUGUUACGCUUAAAAAGAAUAAAAUAACUUAAAUUUUAUUUUAAUUAAUUUCAAUCCCAUAACUCACGCCUGACAUGUUGUAAAUAAUGCAUGUAAUACCUAGCAGAUUCACAAAUUUGAAAUUUUACAAUCACAACUUCUCCAUCAAGGAACCAUUACUAUCUUAAAAACUUCUAAAUUCAAAUAACUAGAAAAAAUCAUUGUAGAAGAUGAAUAUAUUGAUUUUGUUGAUGUUGGGUGUGCGAUGUGAUUGUCGCGCCCCAUUUUUUCGUAAAAAUGGGUUUUGUGCACGAUAUAACAACUCUUUUGGGAUUUUGAGUUUAAAGGAGUCGUCACCUAACGAAUUAAGGCGCGUUAGGGCACCUAUCUAACCUUACUAAGUCUAGCUAAGGUCAACGAGUCAGAGAUCAGGGUAAGAGUUUAAAUUACCUCGAGGGGAAGGUGUUAAGCAUCCCUCGAGGUCCACAAAUGUGGGUCCCGACCGUAUCUCAUGCAAUUUAUGUGGGGGUUACAAGUAGCAAAUAAGGUCACUUCAUUUAUUAGUUUAUUUGAGCUUGCUAAGUGAUGACAUAAUAUUAAGCAAUUAAUUUUUUUUAUUUUAGUUAAUUUAAACAUGUGAGAUUAGGUGAUAGAAAUAAAUAAACAAUUAAACUCUUUUUUUUUUAUUUAAUUUAGCAUACGAGACUAUAUGAUAUAACAAGUCAAACAAAUAGCUCAUAUUAUUAUUUUAAUUGAUUUUUAAGCAUGCUAAAAGGCGAUGGAAACAAUAAACACAACAAAUAUUAAUCAAUUACAUAAAGAUAAGCGAGGAGACAAAUAGACAAAUAGAUAAGCCAAUAAAUUUGUUAUAUUUUUUUUUAUUUUAAGCUACCCCAAUAAAUUACUAAACAAUUAAGAAUACUUCAAUUAUUUAUUAUUUGAGCAUACGAUCUAGGUGAUUAAAAAUAUUGACCAAAUAUUAAGCAAUUAAUAAUGAGAUAACAAGAAGACAUAAUAUGUACAAAUAAAAAUAAUUCAAUUUAAUUUAUUAUGCCGCACCAAACAAGACUAAGAUGUGCGAAUUUUUUUUUUGAAAUUCCUUUGAGAAUCACAUAAUACCUAUAGGCAUGAUUUCUAACUUGACAAUUACGGUAAACAAGUAGCAUGUAAAUUCUCUCCCCUUAGGUGAUCUCCCCAAAAUAUUUUAUUUUAUAUAUAGAGAGUUAAAGAGUUGUACAAACAUUAAAAGUAAAAAUAAAUAGUGAAUAAACAUAUAUAUAAUAAAAUGAACGAGGCUUCGUCCACAAUUUCUUCUAGGCAAAUCUUCAACAUCUUGAACUCUAAGUUCAAAACUUGGAAGAAGAGGUAAUGUAACACAUAUACGAUGAGGAAAUAGGUGUAAACAGAAUGCUCAUAGUAACAAAUUACUCUCAUAUAUAUGUAAAUAAUACAUAAGAAGGGAUACAGAAUAACCAUAGUUAUCUUAUCAAACGUAAAAGGAUAAUGAAACUAACUUGGAUGCUUCCUUGUUGUUUCGUUUUUCAACAACUAAAUAUUAUAAUUAUGAAAAAAAUCAAAUUAAAAUUAAUAAAGAGGACUAACCAAUUAUAUAGAAAAGAUUAUCAAUUUGUAUUAGAAGAAUGAGUGAUGAGUUGAGAGGAUGAAUAUGUGUAUGAGCAAUGAGAAAAUGAGAGAAAUUGUAGCAAGAGUUAGUAUCUCAAUGAAUGAGAGAAGGGUCUACUUAUAUAGCAAAAAGGGGUGCAUUUAAUAAAGAAAAAUAAAUAAAUUAAGGAAUCAAUUAUUGUACCAUUUUCCUUAUUUUAGAGGAGGAUCAAUCAGAAAAUUCUAAUAAUAUUUCAUUACCACAAAUAAACUUGUAAUAAUAAAAGUUAGGAAAAAAAUAAUAUUUUUUUCUUAAAUAAAGAAGAACUAAAAUAAAAUUAUUAUCAUGCUACCAAAUAUAAACAAAUAAGAAUAAAUUAAGAAGAACACAAUUAUUUUUUCCUUAACUAAUGAAGAGCCAAAAUUGAUUUUUUUUUUAAAAAAAAAAUAUUAUUAUUCUACCAUAUACAUGAGCAACUAAAUAUUACAAGGAAAUAAUUUAAGGUCAAACAUUUACCUAAUUACAAUAAAUAAAUAUGUAAGAAUCAAUCUAGACAAACGUUGAAGGAAAAGGAGAUCGAUUAAUAUUUUUAAUUCAUUUUAAGAGAGAGCUAAAUUAUAAAAUCAAUAUUUUCAGAAUGUGUAAAUAUCUUCCCAAAAAUAAGUAAGUAAGAAACCUUUUUUUUUAAUCACAUGAACAAAGAUUUAAUCUAUAAUUUUAGCAAAUUAAUUUGAAUAUUUUUUUAAUCACACAUAAGCAUGUCACAUAAGUCAACCAAGGAUAGCCAUAAAUAAUAGUAUACUAACAAUAUUAUUUAUAUAUUUAACACAGAAUCAAAUACGAAAAAAUACUUUGUAAUCAUAUCAAUCCAUUAUCAAGUAAUCUACACUAUACUUAAGCAAGCUAGAUUCAAAACGAACGCAAAGAUUAAAUUUAAAAAUUCAUGGACCAAUUUUAAAUCAACACAAUAAGUUAAUUGCUAAUCAGUUAACACAGAAGCAACAUCACUCGAUCAUCCACACCAAAAUUCAUUUAAGACUUAUUGAGAGACAAAACUAACUAGCAUAUGAUAUACACAAGCUUCGAAAUUUUUUGAAAAAUCAACAAGAACAGUCCAUAAGAUCAAGAAACUCACAAUUUAUUUUCGCUCAUCGAUAACAUUCAUAACAUUAGGCAAAUUACAUUUAUGAUUUAAAAGAGAAACUAACCCGGACAAAUCUAUCAUAGAUCCGUCUUAAAACUUCAAAGACGCUUGAUGGAGUUCGCUGACCGGAGUUGUUGCUUUCGGCGGUUGCUGCUGCCUCCAAAAGAAGAGAGAAGAGGAGGGAGACGAGAAGAGGGGCGAGAGGGAGAAGAUAGGGGGCGGGAGACGGAGAGGGGAAGAGGGGCGGCUGCCACCACUUGGAGGUGGUGAUUAACCACCGGAAAGAAUGGAGGGAGAGAGAGGCGGCUGGAGAUAUGGGUGAGGGAGGAAUAAAAUA
Molecule: long non-coding RNA, 3763 nt
Filed under: Solanum lycopersicum (tomato)
Lineage: Eukaryota; Viridiplantae; Streptophyta; Magnoliopsida; Solanales; Solanaceae
Description: long non-coding RNA (SLYC_LNC000934)
Source: RNAcentral